CCUACGGGUGGCAGCAGUCGAGAAUCAUUCACAAUGGGGGAAACCCUGAUGGUGCGACGCCGCGUGGGGGAAUGAAGGUCUUCGGAUUGUAAACCCCUGUCAUGUGGGAGCAAAUUAAAAAGAUAGUACCACAAGAGGAAGAGACGGCUAACCCUGUGCCAGCAGCCGCGGUAAUACAGAGGUCUCAAGCGUUGUUCGGAAUCACUGGGCGUAAAGCGUGCGUAGGCUGUUUCGUAAGUCGUGUGUGAAAGGCGCGGGCUCAACCCGCGGACGGCACAUGAUACUGGGAGACGUGAGUGAUGGAGAGGGAACCGGAAGUCUCGGUGUAGCAGUGAAAUGCGUAGAUAUCGAGAGGAACACUCGUGGCGAAGGCGGGUUCCUGGACAUUAACUGACGCUGAGGCACGAAGGCCAGGGGAGCGAAAGGGAUUAGAUACCCGAGUAGUC
Molecule: ribosomal RNA, 446 nt
Filed under: uncultured bacterium
Lineage: Bacteria
Description: partial 16S ribosomal RNA
Rfam family: Bacterial small subunit ribosomal RNA
Source: RNAcentral